Molecule: ribosomal RNA, 398 nt
Filed under: Wolterstorffina parvipalmata (Cameroon Wolterstorff Toad)
Lineage: Eukaryota; Metazoa; Chordata; Amphibia; Anura; Bufonidae
Description: partial 16S ribosomal RNA
Rfam family: Bacterial large subunit ribosomal RNA
Source: RNAcentral
CUCCCCGUGAAGAAGCGAGGAUAAAAUUAUAAGACGAGAAGACCCUAUGGAGCUUUAAACAAUAUAGCAUCUGCCCCCGACAUAAAAAUUUCUGAAUCUUAAACCCGUUAGGCAGUAUAACUAUAAGUUUUUGGUUGGGGUGACCACGGAGCAUAAAACAACCUCCACGCUGAAAGAAUCUUUUUUAAGCUAAGAAUUACCUAUCUAAGCAUCAAUUUAUUGACACCCAUUGACCCAAUAUAUUUGAACAACGAACCAAGUUACCCUAGGGAUAACAGCGCAAUCCACUUCAAGAGCCCCUAUCGACAAGUGGGUUUACGACCUCGAUGUUGGAUCAGGGUUUCCCAGUGGUGCAGCCGCUACUAAAGGUUCGUUUGUUCAACGAUUAAAACCCUACG